Molecule: transfer RNA, 88 nt
Filed under: Zygnema circumcarinatum
Lineage: Eukaryota; Viridiplantae; Streptophyta; Zygnematophyceae; Zygnematales; Zygnemataceae
Description: tRNA-Ser
Rfam family: tRNA
About the family: Transfer RNA (tRNA) molecules are approximately 80 nucleotides in length.
Source: RNAcentral
GGAUGGAUGUCUGAGUGGUUUAAGGUAUCAGUCUUGAAAACUGAAGUAUCGAGUGUCGAUACCGGGGGUUCGAAUCCCUCUCCGUCCG